This 90-nucleotide transfer RNA is filed under the name Gaiellaceae bacterium. RNAcentral's name for it is "tRNA-Ser". It matches the Rfam family "tRNA". Rfam says of the family: Transfer RNA (tRNA) molecules are approximately 80 nucleotides in length. Their secondary structure includes four short double-helical elements and three loops (D, anti-codon, and T loops). RNAcentral also lists the same sequence under 2 other names. The record is from RNAcentral. Lineage: Bacteria; Bacillati; Actinomycetota; Thermoleophilia; Gaiellales; Gaiellaceae.
GGCGGGGUGCCCGAGCGGUCGAAAGGGGCGGUCUUGAAAACCGCUAGGCCGUGCUGAGCGGUCUCGUGGGUUCGAAUCCCACCCCCGCCG